CGAACGGGGAAAGCGCUUCCGAAACCUAGUGGCGGACGGGUGAGUAACGCGUGAGUACCUGCCUUUCAGAGGGGAAUAACGUUCUGAAAAGAACGCUAAUACCGCAUAACACCGCAUGGUCAAAGGAGCAAUCCGCUGAAAGAUGGACUCGCGUCCGAUUAGCUAGUUGGUGGGGUAAAGGCCUACCAAGGCGACGAUCGGUAGCCGGACUGAGAGGUUGAACGGCCACAUUGGGACUGAGACACGGCCCAGACUCCUACGGGAGGCAGCAGUGGGGGAUAUUGCACAAUGGGGGAAACCCUGAUGCAGCAACGCCGCGUGUGGGAAGAAGGUUUUCGGAUUGUAAACCACUGUUCUUGGUGAAGAUUGACGGUAACCAAGGAGAAAGCUCCGGCUAACUACGUGCCAGCAGCCGCGGUAAUACGUAGGGAGCAAGCGUUGUCCGGAUUUACUGGGUGUAAAGGGUGCGUAGGCGGCUAGGCAAGUCAGACGUGAAAACCAUGGGCUCAACCUGUGGACUGCGUUUGAAACUGUUUAGCUUGAGUGAAGUAGAGGUAGGCGGAAUUCCCGGUGUAGCGGUGAAAUGCGUAGAGAUCGGGAGGAACACCAGUGGCGAAGGCGGCCUACUGGGCUUUAACUGACGCUGAGGCACGAAAGCAUGGGUAGCAAACAGGAUUAGAUACCCUGGUAGUCCAUGCCGUAAACGAUG
RNAcentral lists this ribosomal RNA (709 nucleotides) under uncultured bacterium. RNAcentral describes it as "bacterial SSU rRNA". It matches the Rfam family "Bacterial small subunit ribosomal RNA", at positions 63 to 811 of the family's 1533-position model. The record is from RNAcentral.